Molecule: ribosomal RNA, 508 nt
Filed under: uncultured bacterium
Lineage: Bacteria
Description: partial 16S ribosomal RNA
Rfam family: Bacterial small subunit ribosomal RNA
Source: RNAcentral
AUUGAGCGCUGGCGGCAUGCCUUACACAUGCAAGUCGAACGGCAGCGGGGGAGAAGCUUGCUUUUCCUGCCGGCGAGUGGCGAACGGGUGAGUAAUACAUCGGAACGUGCCCUGUAGUGGGGGAUAACUAGUCGAAAGAUUAGUUAAUACCGCAUACGACCUGAGGGUGAAAGUGGGGGACCGCAAGGCCUCAUGCUAUAGGAGCGGCCGAUGUCUGAUUAGCUAGUUGGUGGGGUAAAGGCCUACCAAGGCGACGAUCAGUAGCUGGUCUGAGAGGACGAUCGGCCACACUGGGACUGGGACACGGCCCAGACUCCUACGGGAGGCAGCAGUGGGGAAUUUUGGACAAUGGGCGAAAGCCUGAUCCAGCAAUGCCGCGUGUGUGAAGAAGGCCUUCGGGUUGUAAAGCACUUUUGUCCGGAAAGAAAUGGCUCUGGUUAAUACCUGGGGUCGAUGACGGUACCGGAAGAAUAAGGACCGGCUAACUACGUGCCAGCCGCCGCCGUAA